AUUGAACGCUGGCGGCAUGCCUAACACAUGCAAGUCGAACGAGCGGCGGACGGGUGAGUAAUGUAUGGCGACUGCCCGCUAGCGGGGGAUCAAUAGUGGAAACUGUCUCCAAUACCGCAUUCCAUCGGAUAGCCCAUAUGGUAUUAGCUAGUCGGUGAGGUAAUGGCUCACCAAGGCGACGACCCCUAGCUGGUCUGAGAGGAUGAUCAGCAACACUGGGACUGAGACAUGGCCCAGACUCCUACGGAGGCAGCAGUGGAGAAUAUUGCGCAAGGGGCGCAAGCCUGAUGCACCCAUGCGGCGUGUAUGAAGAAGGCCCUAGGGUUGUAGAGUACUUUCAGUCUGGAGGCGUUACCGAAAGAAGAAGCACCGGCUAACUCCGUGCCAGCAGCCGCGGUAAUAC
Molecule: ribosomal RNA, 403 nt
Filed under: uncultured bacterium
Lineage: Bacteria
Description: partial 16S ribosomal RNA
Rfam family: Bacterial small subunit ribosomal RNA
Source: RNAcentral